GGAGCAAACAGGAUUAGAUACCCUGGUAGUCCACGCUGUAAACGAUGAAUGUUAAAUAUGGGAAGUUUACUUUCUGUAUUACAGCUAACGCGUUAAACAUUCCGCCUGGGGACUACGGUCGCAAGAUUAAAACUCAAAGGAAUUGACGGGGACCCGCACAAGCGGUGGAGCAUGUGGUUUAAUUCGAUGCAACGCGAAAAACCUUACCACUCCUUGACAUGGAAAUUAUACCUAUUCGAAGGGAUAGGGUCGGUUCGGCCGGAUUUCACACAGGUGUUGCAUGGCUGUCGUCAGCUCGUGUCGUGAGAUGUUGGGUUAAGUCCCGCAACGAGCGCAACCCUCAUCCUUAGUUACCAUCAGGUAAUGCUGGGGACUUCAAGGAAACUGCCAGUGGUAAACUGGAGGAAGGUGGGGAUGAUGUCAAGUCAUCAUGGCCCUUAUGGAGUGGGCUACACACGUGCUACAAUGGUGGCUACAAUGGGCUGCAAAGUCGCGAGGCUAAGCUAAUCCCUUAAAAGCCACCUCAGUUCGGAUUGUACUCUGCAACUCGAGUGCAUGAAGUUGGAAUCGCUAGUAAUCGUGGAUCAGCACGCCACGGUGAAUGCGUUCUCGGGUCUUGUACACACUGCCCGUCACGCCAUGGGAAUUGGUUUCACUCGAAGCUAACGACCUAACCGCAAGGAGGGAGUUAUUUAAAGUGGGAUCGGUGACUGGGGUG
Molecule: ribosomal RNA, 718 nt
Filed under: uncultured bacterium
Lineage: Bacteria
Description: bacterial SSU rRNA
Rfam family: Bacterial small subunit ribosomal RNA
Source: RNAcentral